Psammomys obesus (fat sand rat) is the source of this 948-nucleotide long non-coding RNA. RefSeq lists it as uncharacterized. Lineage: Eukaryota; Metazoa; Chordata; Mammalia; Rodentia; Muridae. The transcript has 3 exons. The record is from RefSeq and is a predicted model, not a curated record.
AGGGGGCGCCCUUGUGCAAGGCGCUGGGCACCCGGCGUCUUCGCAGGCUCCAGGGGUCCCCAGCAGCACUCCUGGGCCUUGGGCUUGGUGCCUCCUCAUUGACUGGACCUAAACCCCUGUCCACGGUGUUAAUCCUCAUCCCACUCCUUGCCUCAACUCUGCAUGCCUGACCGCUAACUUCAACAUCUCCCAAGACCUCCUCAUCUCCGGAUGAAUUCUGAGCUCACGUUCUGGACCGCUGCCAGGAAGAAGGAAGCGGCAUUAGUUUAAAGCAUCACACAAAAGGCCGCAGCAAGCCAAGGAUUUAAACACUGAAGAGUUUGAACAGCAAGCGGUGGGCACCAUCAGCAGUGAUAAGAUGGAACUGCAUUUUAAAAAGGUCAUUUGGGCUUCUGUGGAAGAAGGAGGAAAGGACUUGAGAAGAGACAAAUAGACCAAUCAGAUAUGCAUCGGAGCCGUCCAGACUUGGUCUCUCAAGGUGGUGCAGACGACGAUGGAGGGUAAUGAUGACUGUGUGAGAGAAUGUUUUCAGUGCACAUUUUGGAUGGCUAGAUGACAAAACCAGGAAGAGUAUCUAUCCCUAACCUUUGUCCUUUCCUGUAGCCAUUGGCUUCCUUCUGGGAUGUCAGGCAGGUGGGUCACCAAGGAGGAAGGGGUUCCAGGCAUCUUCCAGACCCACAGGCACGCCCUGCUUUCUGGGGGAUGCAGGGGAAUCCCACACUGUGUUCCUCCACUCACCUUCUUUUAUUUUCUUAUCAGUUACAUUUUAUUAACUCUGUAUCCCAGCCGUAUCCCGAUCCCUCAUUCCCUCCCAAUCCCGCCCUCCCUCCCUCAUCUCCACCCUGCCCCUUUCCAAGUCCACUGAUAGGGGGGACCUCCUCCCCAUUCAUCUGAUCCUGUUUUAUCAGGCAUCUUCAGGAGUGGCUGCAAAGCCCUCCUCUGUGGCCU